GUUUUUUCAUGUGUAAAAUAUGUAUGGCAAGCACUGUUCCCACUUGCUGUGGUGACCAGUAAAAUAUAUCUAAAAGCACCUACAAAAAAAGUCUGACAGACAACAGGUAUAAUAAUAGGUGACUAUUACUAUUAUAUACUUUCCCACCUUAAGGCCUCUUUAUAUAAUGAUCAAUAUAUAUAUAUAUUUUUCUUUUUUUGGCUGCCCCACAGGAUAGGGAGUUCCUGGGCCAGGGAUCAGAUCCGACCCACAGUUGUGACCUACACCACAGCUGUGCCAAUGCCAGAUCCUUCAACCCACUGUACCAGCCAGGGAUCAAGCCUGCAUCUUGGUGCUACAGAGAUGGCGAUCAUCCCGCAGCACCCUAGAGAGAAGUCCUGAUUAAAUAUUUUUUAUCACCCUUCUGCUCAACCCUGAAAUGCUUGUCUUCCCUUCUCCACCUGUCAAAACGGGUGAGUCUUUCAAGUAACUAAGAUUAUUACCACAUUUUUAUACAUAAUCCACUGCAUUUUACACAUAUCCACUACAUACUUGCUGAUAAUAUUUUUUCCUAAUGGCCUUUUCAAUUUUUGUAAUUAUUUUGAGAUGGAACAUGUAUAAGCAGAUAAACAGACAAACCAUACCCUUUUCAAUAAGUAAUGUGAAACUUAAGAAUCUCAGAACCUAAAGGAAACUCAGAAAUGACUUGGACCAACCAUUACCAGAUAUGAGUUUCUUCUCUAACAUCCUGACAAAUUAUUAACUCGACCUCUGUUGGGUAUGUCUAGGAGGGCCACUAUUUCUAACGCUACCCCACGCCAUUCUGAAACGGUUCUAUCAAAGGCUCUUCUUUUGACUGAGCCCACAGCCCUCUCCCUAUAAUGGCUAAACAGGAAAGAAAUCUAAUUACACUUGUGUCCAAAGGUCUUUUUGGGAUUAUGGCAUUUGGGAGCCACCUUGACUCCUGGAUCCUCUUUUCCUAUUUCUUCCUCAAGUCCCCUCAUCAUUCUGGCUCUAACUCCUUUAAUGCUUUUAAGGUAAGAUUUUAAAUUAGUGAAAAAUAAGACUCCUGGAAUGUUACAGAGUAGUUACAUCCAUAUCAGUAAAACUGUUCUUGAAGAGAUGCUCAGCUUCUGCUAACACAACCUUAGUUUGGGGGGAAGGAGGCCAGCCCAAACAAGGCUAAUACAAAAUUGUUAACCCAAACUAAGUCCCCUAAAGCCAUUAAGCCUUUUCCCUUGCAAUAUGAGGAAAUCACUUCUUUAUUAUCUCCUCGGGUAUGAAGACUUUAUAUUUAUCCCAAUGACCUGUUUCAUUCUGCUGAGAUAAAUUUGAACUCUGAUACUAUCAACCAAAUGGUUAAUUUAUACCAAACCUCAACACUCUUCAAAUUUGAUCCUCCUAGCAAGGUGCUCAUUGAGAAAGUGAGUUAUAUACCAUGAUUGGGGCAGAGCCCUCCAGAAAGACACUGCAAGUUUUCACUGUUAUAUGGAUCCAUGUAAUUAGCCUUCUUUGACUCCAAUGCCAACAUUUUCAAUGUUAUAAACAGAUACCUUGUUGAUAUCUAAAUAAAUUCCAUUUAAUUUAUUCUUUCAUCAACCAUGUAUGCUUGGGAUUUUUUUAAUUAACAAAACAACAACAACAACAACAAAAAACAUCUUGUUGGACGCUUUGGUAUCUAAAGAAAAAUGAAAAAACCCAAAAAAAAAAAAAAACCCAGAUGUCCAUCGACAGAUGAUUGGAUUCGGAAGAUGUGGUAUAUAUACACAAUGGAAUACUACUCAGCCAUAAAAAAGGAUGACAUAAUGCCAUUUGCAGCAACAUGGAUGGAACUAGAGAUUCUCAUCCUGAGUGAAAUGAGCCAGAAAGACAAAGACAAAUACUAUAUGAUAUCUCUUAUAACUGGAAUCUAAUAUCCAGCACUAAUGAACAUCUCCUCAGAAAAGAAAAUCAUGGACUUGGAGAAGAGACUUGUGGCUGCCUGAUGGGAGGGGGAGAGAGUGGGAGGGAUCGGGAGCUUGGGCUUAUCAGACACAACUUAGAAUAGAUUUACAAGGAGAUCCUGCUGAAUAGCGUUGAGAACUAUGUCUAGAUACUCAUGUUGCAACAGAACAAAGGGUGGGGGAAAAAAUGUAAUUGUAAUGUAUACAUGUAAGGAUAACCUGACCCUCUUGCUGUACAGUGGGAAAAUAAAAAAAAGAAAAAAGAAAAAAGAAAAAUGAAAACUAUGUAUAAUUGCCUAUAUGACACCUAUAAAAGAACACUAAACAAACUUCUGUGUCAUGAGCAUUUGUAAUAUUAGUUUAUCCAAGAAAGUUGAUCAAAGCUUAUCUCUGACCAUCCUUGCUCAAUACACCCCACCUAAGAUAAGUCGAUGAAAUAUUCCUUGAAAACACUAUAGAUUUUCAAAUACUCCAUAAUUAGAACCAAAGGAAGACUUAUGCCUUGCUUCAUUUAUCUGGAAAAAAAAUUUUAAUUUAAAAAAUGGUUUUUCUGGUUUUGUUUGUUUGUUUGCUUUUUAGGGCCGCAGCCCCAGUUCCCAGUUCCCAGUUCCCAGGCUAGGGUGUUGAAUCAGAGCUGCAGCUGUGACUUGCCACAGCCACAGCAACACAGGAUCGGGGCCACCUACACCACAGCUCAUGGCAACACCAGAUCCCUAACCCACUGAGCGAGGCCAAGGAUCGAACCCUCAUCCUCAUGGAUACUAACUGGGUUUGUAACCACUGAGCCACAAAGGGGAACUCCUUUAAAAAAAUGUUUACUUACAAUGUUUUAACUUUCAAACCCGCACCCACACUUUCUAAAUAUCAUCAAGUUUCCUUCCAGAAAUCAAAAGGAGGCCUUAUACAUGAAAAUUCUGCACAGGCCAGAAUAUUUUGUGAAUAUUCACUGAAAGGGACACAAGGCAAGUAUAUAAGGAGAGUGGAAGUGCAAGAAAAAGUCAAAAAAUGUUUUCCUACUAUUUCUUUGAAUAUUUUACAUAACCCAUUUCUUCAUUUAAAAACAUGCAAUCCUCCUUAAUACUCCAUUUAAGAUAAGAAGUUACUCCAGAGCAACAAAAAGUACCUUUGUAAUUACCAACAUUCUUCUUUCGGAGCUAUUUCUCCCAAGGGAAACAGGGAAUAUUUACUUCAGGAUCCCGUUCAAAGAGGUUGUCGUCAUCACAAAUUCUGUUGCCUGCUUUACUAAAGAACCAGCUGCCAGGAGAUAGACAAAUGCUACUGCUCACUGGGUUCACGGCAGCCCAUGUCCUCUUUUUCACCAAAGAGAAAAAUUUUCAAUAGAGUUUUAAAGUCAAGAUAACUUUAGGAUUCAGGACAUUCCACGACUAGGACAUAGCCGAUAAUAGGAGUUUGGCUCUUAUCCUUCUCCCACUGAAGGAUGGGGAACACCUUUUGCCCCCAGUUAAACCACAGUAGAGAAAAACUAAGUAAGUCUUAUUUCCCUGGAGCGAAACUAAAAUAUUUAGUUUUUAGUUUGUCAAACUGUCAAAGGUGGGGACUUUAAGAAGAGGAGAAAAAUGCAGAUAAUUGAAUGAUUCGUCAUGGAUCUACUCAGGCAUGACUUUAAAUGUUUGCUAUUACUUAAGGUUAAAAAAAUUCCUGAGCCCCUAAUACCCUAAGCCUGUCCUAUUAUUUAUUUGUUACAAUAAACUGCCAAGUUCCCAGAUAUAAUGAAUGUCUGAUCAGUGUGUUACAGAGGGACCUCCAAUAUCACUAAAUCUGCAAUUAGAGCUGACUAGAAAAUUUUGCAUUUAGUUUUGAAGAUGUUUAAUUUGAAAUCUUUUAUUUUGCCAUAAGAACUGUCAAUACUUAAAAGUCUCCCUGUAACUCCAACCCCAUGCUUACCCAGAUUCCCUCUAAUAACCAUUUCCAGAAGGUGUUCUGAAGUAUGUCACUGAUAUUAGACAAUUUCCAUUAAUCGGUAUUAUCAUAAAUCUACACAGAAUUCAAAAGGUAAAGGAUUACAAAUAAAUUUUAAUCCAUUAGAGAUUUCAAGGAUUCGGUAGUUUCAAAAUAUUUCAGUAGAAAGUUAAAGCCAGGGUGAGAUGAGAUCCCAGCAAACUAUAUUUAUUGUGUUAAUGUACCAUUUGUCUUCUGGGCAAGUAACUAAAGGUCAUUUGUUCUUCAUGGCAAGUGUUGAAAAUAGUUUACAUCGGAGGUCUAACUUAAAGGAACAAUGUGAAACCCCUCAGGCCUAAAAUGACCUUUUUAUGCCAACACAGAUGUCCAAAUCUCUUAAAGAGGGGGGCAGUGAUGUCUGCACUCUGAUUUCCAGUUCUUUCAACUCUCUUUUCCUAAAUGCUUCUGAUGGAGAAAUUAGACUCAUUUCCUGCUUGUAGAUCUCAGGGUAUCUGAUCAACUAUGAGGGCCAGGUAUCAAAGCUGAAUGUCGGCCUGAAGAGGGGCAAGUUAUUCCCAGGCCUACGUCUGUCAAGGGAGAGGGUGACUGUGUGAGAAGGAGGCACACGGUAAAUAAAAUCUGCAUGGGGCAGGGGACUACUUCCGUUCCCCGGGGUCUGAGGGAGCUUCUGGGAGGCUGGACAGUCAUCCCACAUAGUGCCUGGCAGAAACCCAAGGAGGUCUAGCCAGAACGGGCCUCCUUCAGAAGUGUAAGGGCAUGAGGGAAGAGGAAUAAAGAGAAAGGAAGAUAAGGCCUGCAAUUAAGACUGUGGGCUAUUUCCCUUGACCAAAAAAAAAAAAAAAAAUUGCUUCCAAAGAGCUGGGAGCUUUGAGGAAUUCUUGCCUCCCGAUCGUUCAAACUCAGAAUGGUCAGGUGAUGGAAAAGAAACAACUACCCCAUUAACAUCUACCCAUUUCCAUAGUCAAGUUGGCCACUUUUCUUGCCAUCCCAAAAUGGGAUUCAAAAAUAAAGACUGAUGGAGACAGAGAAGUAUGUGUUUUCAUUUUCUCUUCCAGAUCAGCUGGGGCUGAUUUUUCCCUCAGGCUUUGCUAACCACACAUCAGGGUUUCCGUCUAUGGAAAACAACCCAUGAAUGCACCUAAAACAUGUUCUAACUUUUAACGUUAUGUAUAAAGACACCUAGAUUCUAGCUCACUCCGUACUGCCCACAGAGACAGAAGGCAAAUUUGAUGUCGAAGCCCUAACAGCAAACUGUCUCUUGGGUUCACACGUCCUCCUGCCGUUUAUGGCAGACUUCACACAUUCAGCGUGCUGCGUUGUCACAUUUGGGUGGCCCAAACAAUGGCACAGAACAGACACUGCAACGAACAGCAGAGAAACCAUUUGUUCUAUAGUGCCCUUUUUCUUCGGGUUACAUAUUCUACCACUCUGCAGGGCAAGGAAAGCACCAAGGGCACCUAGAACAGAUUCACAUUUUAGUUUGAACUGGUAUGGCAUUCUUAAUUAAAGAAAAGAACUGUUUCCUGGAAUUCUGCCCUGUGGUUUCCCAAGCUCGUUUGUGAGAUGGGCAUUGAACACAGGGGAGAAAAAAAUGGAAAGAGAUUGCUUUUGGAGUGCUUUUGAUAUCACUCCCUUCUAUUGACUAUCAAGUAAAUCAGCCCAUUGUCCUUCUUGACAAAGAGUUUUCCUUAAAGAUGACCCUUAGCACUAGGCAAGCACAAUUCGAAACAGGUAUGAAGCCAGUAUACCCGAGUGGGGCUGAAACCUGAACAGUUAUUUUUUUCCACUUAUACAGGAAAAUUCAAGGGAAAAUUGGUUACAUGGGCAACUCACAGUUUCUUUUGGAAUGCUUUCAUGGAAAUUCAGACAGUAUUCGAUACACACAUCAUAUUUUUUUAAUAGUGUUGUGUGGGUGGGUUGGAGGCACAUGAAGAGCUCCAGAAUCCAUAUAAAUAUCCAAAAUGUGCAUGGAGAAACUCUCUCAUUUCCUUUUUAUUGUCUAGUGCUCAUUUACGAACUUACUUGCAGCAUGAUACUCUAAUAUUCCUUUCUGCCUAUUUUAACAUUAGCACCAGCCUCCUAAUAUGGCUAAAAAUGAUAUCACUACCUCCAAAAAAACCAAAAAAAAAAAAAAAAGAUUUUUAAAGGAACAAAAACCAAAUGAAGCAGCUAUAUUCAAAAUUAAGAGGUAAGGCAAGCCUACCCAGAUGGGUUUUAUCCCAAAACCAACCAAGACAGACAAGCAAACCAAAAAACAAAAAUCGACCAUCUCUUUCUUUUUUUUUCUUCAUGCCAGGGCUGCUGCCUGGGUGGUAGCCAUUCAUGCUGGCUUGUGUGCACUUGGAGUGCAGGGACUAGUUAAUGGGGAAAUUACAGAUGACUCUGCAUGGUGGCUUCUCUGAUUUACAUUUGUGGUAAAACCCAAGACAACUGAUCUGUAACUCUGACUUGAACUGGGCCCUUACAUGGAAAUUUUUCCAGCCUGUGGCAGUACCUAAAAGGCUUUCUGGGAAGAGUUCAAGAGCCUCCUCUUCCUAUGGUAGCCCUUGCCAGGGUAUUUUAACUUCCUUUAUUAUAUCAAUCAUGAGUGUCCUGAAUACCCUUCCCAUGUCACCAAAGCCAUGUUCACUAGAGUCACAUGCUGGUGAUGGGUUUAAAAAAAAAAAAAUUCUCAGGCAAUGCAAAAUGAUCAAUUCAGGGUACUGAAAGUUAGAACCAAAUAUCUGAAUCUGAAUAUCUGAAUCAAAGUUUUAAAAGUUAAGGCACACAAAAGUCCUUUGAAUUUCAGUAAUGACCAAAGCAUACUAAACUGAUCAACACAGGAAAAACAAAAAAGAAUGAAGGGAUAAAGGACUGAUAACGGGACAAAGGAAUGGAUGUACCAAGUUCUGACAAACACUGGAAUCACAUUUCAAAUCCAGGGCUGUCCAAUGCAAUUCAUACUCACGCUAAAAGUAAGUCAUGGAUCUCAGUCUACCUUCCCUGCACUGUUUUCCCUCAUGGCAAUGAGAAAAUGCUUUUCCUCUCACAUUAGAGAGAUUCAUUUCAUACUCCUAGUUAAAAAAAAAAAAAAUUAAGGUAAAUUAUGAGCCAACGAGUCACUACAUGUUCAAAUGCAUUUGCCGAAUUAGGAACUCAACAUCUUCACUCCCUUUAAUUGCUUUGAGGCAGUGAACUACAAACAGCCUUGGUUAAAGCAAGAACUACAAGCACAUACACAUACUCACCAAAUUCUUGGUCAUAAUGAAAUUCUUAAGUUCAAACUAAUCAAAAGAGGAAGGAAGAACUACCAUCUGUCUCCCCACCAUAUUAGCCUGUUAGGUUCAUAUAUUUCAGACUGGUUAAAAAAGGCUUCACCAAAUGUAGCACCAAUGAAAGUUCAACUGCUGAAAUACCUGUUGAUUUUGGUAACUAACUAAAAGUCAGGUAAUAAAGGAUACAAAUGCCUUCUGAUGAUUGUUUAGUCUCACUCCCCCUGAUUUAAGCCCCUGAAAAGUGUCACCCUUUUGAUGUGAAGCAAAUAUAGCAUUUUCCCCUAUAGGAAAUACUGUGCCUCAAUCAAAAUGCACUGCAUACUGUGCUUCAUCUAUCUCAGGACAUUUAGGAAAACUGGACAACCACAAAAAAAGUAAAGGGCAGGUUCUAGCCCAUGAGAUAUAAGACCAGUAAUGAUCCUGACAUGAUAAAAAGUAAUCAUUUCAUAGACAUUGGUAAAGCUGCCUGGAAACAUCAGUGAUUCUAUCCCUUCAAGUAUUAUUAGAAACAGAGACUCAGGAGAUAUAAUAAACACUUAAAGUCAUCUUGUCAUUGGCAAGUGAUGCCAACAAUGUUACCAUAACUGAAUCGCUUCUUAGAAUCUACAAGUGACCCUUACGUAUUUUAUUCUUGAUACUUCUGAUGAAAACUGGCCUUUUAUGAAAGAACGGACUGUAAGAUAGUUUAGAUUUACUGCUAUAUACAAGGUCUCAGAUGUUAAAUUUAAGAUGUGAAGUGUUAUGUGCAUAUUUUUAAAAAUUUUAAGAAUACACUGAGAUAAGAAAAUUCAAAUAUAUAUGAACAAUAUUAAAGUCUUUUGAUGAUUUCUUUCACUCUUCCUGUUUAAGUAAGUAAAAUAUUUCAAUUUCCAUGAGCACAACUGAUAAUAUAACAUGGGUUUUCCAGGUGUUCAAUCCCCUUAUCUGCUUUACAAGCUGCUUUGCCAAAAAGGCAAAGUUUCCUGAAGGAAUCCCAUCUUUGUUAGUUCCUUAGACUUUGUUAAGCCUUGCCUACCCUACAGUUCCCAAUAAAUUAUAUCCUUCUUCACACUAUAGGGUUUAUUUUGUGGGUUGGGAGUGGCUUUCUUAUUUUUCUUCUAAUGAGUAAGUUUGAAAUCUCUGAUUAAUAGUGUCAGCGGUAUUCAAACCUGUCAAGAAAAUCAAAAACAAGGAAAGUCUAAGAAAACAGUCACAAUCAAGAGAAGCCUAAGGAGAUAUAUUUUACAUAUAAUGUAGUAUCCAGGAUGGAGUCCUGG
This 8352-nucleotide long non-coding RNA is filed under the name Sus scrofa (pig). RNAcentral describes it as "lncRNA (ENSSSCG00000052352.1)". The record is from RNAcentral. Lineage: Eukaryota; Metazoa; Chordata; Mammalia; Artiodactyla; Suidae.